CAAACUGUUAACCGAGGAUUCAGAGAAU
This 28-nucleotide non-coding RNA is filed under the name Cricetulus griseus (Chinese hamster). The record is from RNAcentral. Lineage: Eukaryota; Metazoa; Chordata; Mammalia; Rodentia; Cricetidae.